Molecule: unclassified non-coding RNA, 477 nt
Filed under: Hevea brasiliensis (rubber tree)
Lineage: Eukaryota; Viridiplantae; Streptophyta; Magnoliopsida; Malpighiales; Euphorbiaceae
Source: RNAcentral
GAUACAUCAUGACUCAAGAGUUUGUUCUUCUUUCGAUAGAAACAUUUAUGAAACUCUCUCGGUUAGCCUUCCCCACGGAAGGGAGAUCCACAAGCACACUCCUAGGGGUGCAAAAUACAUGUGUAGUGACAUCAUGCAAACAAUAAUUCCCAAGAAGAGCUAUAAUGUUAGCCUGAAACUAAAUAGGAGUACAAAUAGAACCAUAGUAUAUCCAUACAUGAGAGUAAUGGACUAACCUGAGCAUCAUUUUAGAUGUCACCAAUGGACUCCUCUAUUUUUGAUGAGAAAAACAGAAUAGAACAGAAUUUAAAAACCACAUACAAUGAUUUUAACUGUUUGUAUAUAUGAAACAUCAAUUGUUUUCAUUAAUUAUGCAUUUUGUAGUCAAUAGGUGAAAUUUUAACUUUUGUUUCUUAUUGUCAGUUGUCUAUUAGCAGGAUAAGAAGAAAACAUCACCAGUUAAACAGUCAGACAUGA